GGGGACAAAGACAAGAGUGGGAGAAAUGCAUUUUCAUAAAUGAAGGAGAAGUGGAGUCCAUAAUUAGCUCAGCUGUUCCGAAACUGCCUAUGACUUCAUGGACAGAGGAGACAGAGGCUACUCCUUCAGACUAGUCCCACAAUGAGAAGAGGUGCGGAGCUGUGGUUAAUCCACCAUGACAUGAGCCACGAGGGAGAAAUGGACCUCUGCUCUUGUAAGCUAAGGUAAUUUUCUCUGUUACUUCAGCAUAGCCCUGCCUAAUCUGACUGCUACUGAAAGCUAGGAUGGUUACACAUCAAUGAGUAAAUGCAAUUCUGAUGGGGCUGAUUAACAAGAAAUGUGGAGAAUCCUUCCCUCAAGAGAAAACCAGCAGCUGGAACUCAAUAGGACAGGCAAUGAUUGUAAUCCAACGGUUCUGCACCAGAUAAGUACUCACUGCUUGUUAUAUUUUAUGUAUAUAUUUGUGCACUUAUCUAUUUCAAUUAGCAAAGAGAAGAAUAAAAGUAAUUAUUUGAAUGGAGAAAUAAAUAAUGAAAAAUCGUUGUCUAUUACUUUAUUAUUUUCCAUCCAUGCAAUACGAUUCAUGUAAAUUUACCUCCUCUCAGAAAGCGGGCAGUUUCAGGGAAGGAAAAGCCCAACACAAUGUGUCAGCCUGUGACCUCAAGGUAGGGUUUUUCUGUCAUUCAUUCAUAAUAUUUUCCAGUCCUGUCACUUACUAUUUCCAUUCCUGAAGAUGCAUUGUAUUGCUUUUGCCUUUUGUCUUUAUUCACUUGUGUGACUGCUCUCACUACACUAGCACUUCUUUACUGUUACUCAUUUGUGAAGGAGGCAGAAGCUGCCCAAGGGAAGUGAUGAUGGGUGAUAGCUAAUACUUUAAAGUAUUGGUUUAAUGGUUCUCAGACACUGGUAUGAGUUUCCCAAGGAUGAUCUCAUUUAAAUCCUUGCAACAACCCUGUGAGGUAGGAAACUGAGGCACAGAGUUAAAGUCAUACAGUCAUAUAGUGAGUGGCAGAGCCUGGACUUAAGAACCUAGAAAGUUGGAAUUAGGAGCCAUGGAGGCAUUUUCUAGCCCUGGGCCUGUCGAUAAUGAGUGGUACAAAUUUGAGCAAUUUCUUAUCUCUGGGCCUCACUUUUUCAUGUUUCCAAUAAGAAGGGUUGACUAGGGGAAUCUCCCAGCUGUAAAACUCUAUAAAUCUGUGGACUAUUAAAUGACUAUGUUUAAAUCAUCUAACAUAUUGUGCAAAAGAGCUGUGACAUAUUAGAAAGGCUACAAGUUUUGUUGUGACCAAAGCUGCGAUGUCUGGCAAGUCUCUUAACCUUACUCAACCUGCUUUCUUAUGUGUAAAUUGUCCAUAAUGUCUAUCUCAGAAAUUUGGUGUCAUGUCUAAAUGAGAUAAUAUUCAUUGGAGUUCUUUGAUAAUUUUAAGGAACAAUAUAACAAAAGAAAUUAUCAUUGUGUAAAGGACAAUAUUCUUCAUUCUUUCGUUGAGCCAUCCGUUCCUCCAGCCAUCCAUGCAUCCAUUAAAUAUUUAUUAAAUGCCAUUUGCAAAGGUGAAGAGUAGGGUUUCCUUCCUACAAGGAGCUCAUAGUCUAAGUGGGAGACAGAUAUACAAGCGAACAAUUACCUCACAAAGUGAUAAAUGCACAUGGGAGCCAGGUUGAAACACAAUUAGUUCCUAUAUGAAACGCUUAAGGUGGCCUGAAGCAGUCAGGGAAGUUUCACAUAGGAGGCAACAUUUCAAAUGAGACCCAAAGCUGUUAAUCAUGUAAGUAUGUGUGGAUGUGGGGGGGCCACAUGGGGGUUGUGCUAAGAGAGGAAGUAGAAUAUGCAACGAUCUGGACCUGGAAGACAGCAAAGCAUAACCAAGCACUUACAAGUAGGUUAGGAAGCCUGGUAUGCAAACUCGAAAGUGGUGAGAGCAGGAGGGCAAAGAGGUAGGUGGAGCUAUGUCGUCAGGGGUCUUAUAUACCAUGUUGGGGAGGUUAAAUUUUAGCUCCUAGGAGGUCAGCAUCUAUGGAAGGAUUUUAAGGAGAGGAAUGUCACUAAAUUCACACACUAAAAAUAUCAGUCCAGCAGUGCUGUGGAGGAGGGAGUGGAGGGAAUGAGACGAGAGCCAAAAUUGAUGACAGUGGUUUGGUCAUAAGAAGUCCUGAAACUGCAGCCAUGAGAGACCCUGAGCCUGCGUGGGUACCAAUGUGGGAAGAGAAAGGGACAAGAGUCCACCAAUUAGGCUGGUAAGGCUCACUCAGAGACGGCUAAAAUUGGGUCAUUAUUGGGAAUUCACCAUACAUGCUCUACACCAUCCUCCGUCCUGCUCUGAGCUGGUACCCAGGGAAGCACCAGUGAUAAGAGGAAUUUGAUAGGGGGGUAUAUAAAUUCGAUCUUGCUUUGGUCAUUACUUUCAGCCUGGUUUCCCUUUUAAACCAAUCCUCAGCAGAACUAACAUCAAAC
Long non-coding RNA from Equus caballus (horse), 2452 nucleotides. NCBI's taxonomy places the organism in Eukaryota, Metazoa, Chordata, Mammalia, Perissodactyla, Equidae. The record is from Ensembl.